This 333-nucleotide long non-coding RNA is filed under the name Anser brachyrhynchus (Pink-footed goose). RNAcentral's name for it is "lncRNA (ENSABRG00000000151.1)". Lineage: Eukaryota; Metazoa; Chordata; Aves; Anseriformes; Anatidae. The record is from RNAcentral.
UAUAAGAAAGUCUCCUGAAUGGUCUUCAGAGCUUCACAGUGACAGUGAAAGAAGUGAAGUCCACUUCAUUGUGGCAUUACCACAGUUCACAGUAUUUAGUCAUCAUCAUGAAAGAAAGCAAACCAGCACUGUUGAUGGGUCUUCAUGAUGACAGAAAGGAAGCAAACAAGCACUGAUGAUGGGUCUCCACGAUGACAGAAAAAGAUUGUCCUCCUCCCCCUAAGAACCAGGAAAUUCCUGAGGAACAGGAGUGUCAGUAACCUACCUGGGCCUGAAAACCAGAGUGCCCUGUUGUAUGCGUGUUGGAGGGAUCUGUGGAGUGUAGGUAAGAGU